RNAcentral lists this ribosomal RNA (497 nucleotides) under uncultured bacterium. Its description in RNAcentral is "partial 16S ribosomal RNA". It matches the Rfam family "Bacterial small subunit ribosomal RNA", at positions 28 to 507 of the family's 1533-position model. The record is from RNAcentral.
GAUGAACGCUGGCGGCGUGCCUAAUACAUGCAAGUCGAGCGAACAGACGAGGAGCUUGCUCCUCUGACGUUAGCGGCGGACGUGUGAGUAACACGUGGAUAACCUACCUAUAAGACUGGGAUAACUUCGGGAAACCGGAGCUAAUACCGGAUAACAUGUUGAACCGCAUGGUUCAACAGUGAAAGACGGUCUUGCUGUCACUUAUAGAUGGAUCCGCGCCGCAUUAGCUAGUUGGUAAGGUAACGGCUUACCAAGGCAACGAUGCGUAGCCGACCUGAGAGGGUGAUCGGCCACACUGGAACUGAGACACGGUCCAGACUCCUACGGGAGGCAGCAGUAGGGAAUCUUCCGCAAUGGGCGAAAGCCUGACGGAGCAACGCCGCGUGAGUGAAGAAGGUCUUCGGAUCGUAAAACUCUGUUAUUAGGGAAGAACAAAUGUGUAAGUAACUAUGCACGUCUUGACGGUACCUAAUCAGAAAGCCACGGCUAACUACGUG